RNAcentral lists this ribosomal RNA (500 nucleotides) under uncultured bacterium. Its description in RNAcentral is "partial 16S ribosomal RNA". It matches the Rfam family "Bacterial small subunit ribosomal RNA", at positions 30 to 523 of the family's 1533-position model. The record is from RNAcentral.
AUUGAACGCUGGCGGAAUGCUUUACACAUGCAAGUCGAACGGCAGCACGGACUUCGGUCUGGUGGCGAGUGGCGAACGGGCGAGUAAUGUAUCGGAACGUGCCCAGUCGUGGGGGAUAACGUAGUGAAAAUUACGCUAAUACCGCAUACGAUCUAUGGAUGAAAGCGGGGGAUCGCAAGACCUCGCGCGAUUGGAGCGGCCGAUAUCAGAUUAGGUAGUUGGUGGGGUAAAGGCGCACCAAGCCAACGAUCUGUAGCUGGUCUGAGAGGACGACCAGCCAGACUGGAACUGCGACACGGGCCAGACUCCUACGGGAGGCAGCAGUGGGGAAUUUUGGACAAUGGGCGAAAGCCUGAUCCAGCCAUUCCGCGUGCAGGAUGAAGGCCCUAGGGUUGUAAACUGCUUUUGUACAGAACGAAAAGGUUUCUACUAAUACUAGGAGCUCAUGACGGUACUGUAAGAAUAAGCACCGGCUAACUACGUGCCAGCCGCCGCCGUAA